RNAcentral lists this ribosomal RNA (224 nucleotides) under unidentified soil organism R6-74. RNAcentral's name for it is "partial 16S ribosomal RNA". It matches the Rfam family "Bacterial small subunit ribosomal RNA", at positions 1260 to 1501 of the family's 1533-position model. The record is from RNAcentral.
AGACCAANCCAACCCCUNAAAACCGGUCCUAGUUCGGAUUGAGGUCUGCAACUCGACCCCAUGAAGCUGGAAUCGCUAGUAAUCGCGGAUCAGCAUGCCGCGGUGAAUACGUUCCCGGGCCUUGUACACACCGCCCGUCACACCACGAAAGGGAUUUGCACCAGAAGUCGCUCCGGCGCCCAAGGUGUGAAUUCUGAUUGGGGUGAAGUCGUAACAAGUUAACC